UCAAACUUGGUCAUUUAGAGGAAGUAAAAGUCGUAACAAGGUUUCCGUAGGUGAACCUGCGGAAGGAUCAUUAAAGAGAAAACUGCCCUUUGGGUAGAUCUCCCACCCUUUGCUUACCUUACCUUUGUUGCUUUGGCAGGCCCGUCUUCUGACCACUGGCUUUUAGCUGGUCCGCGCCUGCCAGAGGACCCCCAACUCUUGAUUUCAAGUUGUCCGAGUCUUAUAUAAUAGUAAAAACUUUCAACAACGGAUCUCUAGGUUCUGGCAUCGAUGAAGAACGCAGC
This 284-nucleotide unclassified non-coding RNA is filed under the name uncultured fungus. RNAcentral describes it as "partial contains small subunit ribosomal RNA, internal transcribed spacer 1, and 5.8S ribosomal RNA". The stretch from base 1 to 73 matches the Rfam family "Eukaryotic small subunit ribosomal RNA", at positions 1759 to 1831 of the family's 1831-position model. The record is from RNAcentral. Lineage: Eukaryota; Fungi.